This 481-nucleotide ribosomal RNA is filed under the name uncultured bacterium. RNAcentral describes it as "bacterial SSU rRNA". It matches the Rfam family "Bacterial small subunit ribosomal RNA", at positions 29 to 508 of the family's 1533-position model. The record is from RNAcentral.
AAUGAACGCUGGCGGCGUGCUUUACACAUGCAAGUUGAGCGAGGCCGGUAGCAAUACCGAGUCGAGCGGCGAACGGGUGAGUAACGCGUGGAUAACCUGCCCUGAGGUGGGGAAUAACCCGGGGAAACUCGGGCUAGUACCGCAUGAUACCGAGAGGUCAAAGAGGGCUCGUAAGGGCUCUUGCCACAGGAGGGGUCCGCGUUCGAUUAGCUAGUUGGUAGGGUAAUGGCCUACCAAGGCGACGAUCGAUAGCCGGCCUGAGAGGGUGAUCGGCCACACUGGAACUGAGACACGGUCCAGACUCCUACGGGAGGCAGCAGUGGGGAAUUUUGCGCAAUGGGCUAACGCCUGACGCAGCAACGCCGCGUGGAGGAUGAAGGUCUUUGGAUUGUAAACUCCUGUCAGCAGGGAAAAAGGGAUAGGGCCUAAUACGUCCUAAACUUGAUUGUACCUGCAGAGGAAGCCCCGGCUAACUCUGUGC